GACGAACGCUGGCGGCGUGCUUAACACAUGCAAGUCGAACGGAAAGGCCUGCUUUCCCUUGUGGAUUGCGGGUACUCGAGUGGCGAACGGGUGAGUAACACGUGAGUGAUCUGCCCCCAACUUGGGUAUAAGCCUGGGAAACUGGGCCUAAUUCCCGUUAGACCUGCAGGGUGUUGCCUGGGGUGGAAACCGUUUUUCUAUUGGUUGGGGAUGAGCUGGCGGCUUAUCAGCUUGUUGGUGGGGUACUGGCCUACCACGGCGGCGACGGGUAGCCGGCCGGAGAGGGUGGACGGCCACAUUGAGACUGAGAUACGGCCCAGACUCCUACGGGAGGCAGCAGUGGGGAAUAUUGCACAAUGGGCGGAAGCCUGAUGCAGCGACGCCGCGUGGGGGAUGACGGCCUUCGGGUUGUAAACUCCUUUCGACCGCGAGGAAGCCACCUGGUUGGAAGGGUGGUGACGGUAGUGGUAGAAGAAGCACCGGCUAACUACGUG
This 494-nucleotide ribosomal RNA is filed under the name uncultured bacterium. RNAcentral describes it as "partial 16S ribosomal RNA". It matches the Rfam family "Bacterial small subunit ribosomal RNA", at positions 28 to 507 of the family's 1533-position model. The record is from RNAcentral.